Molecule: ribosomal RNA, 253 nt
Filed under: uncultured bacterium
Lineage: Bacteria
Description: partial 16S ribosomal RNA
Rfam family: Bacterial small subunit ribosomal RNA
Source: RNAcentral
UACGAAGGGGGCUAGCGUUGCUCGGAAUCACUGGGCGUAAAGCGCACGUAGGCGGCUUGUUAAGUCAGGGGUGAAAUCCUGGAGCUCAACUCCAGAACUGCCUUUGAUACUGGCGAGCUUGAGUCCGGGAGAGGUGAGUGGAACUGCGAGUGUAGAGGGGAAAUUCGUAGAUAUUCGCAAGAACACCAGUGGCGAAGGCGGCUCACUGGCCCGGUACUGACGCUGAGGUGCGAAAGCGUGGGGAGCAAACAGG